Molecule: ribosomal RNA, 372 nt
Filed under: uncultured bacterium
Lineage: Bacteria
Description: bacterial SSU rRNA
Rfam family: Bacterial small subunit ribosomal RNA
Source: RNAcentral
UACGGAGGGUGCAAGCGUUAUCCGGAUUCACUGGGUUUAAAGGGAGCGCAGGCGGAUUGGUAAGUCAGUGGUGAAAGGCUUGAGCUUAACUCGGGAACUGCCAUUGAUACUAUCAGUCUUGAAUAUUGUUGAGGUUUGCGGAAUGGGUCAUGUAGCGGUGAAAUGCAUAGAUAUGACCCGGAACACCUAUUGCGAAGGCAGCAGGCUAAACAAAGAUUGACGCUGAGGCUCGAAAGCGUGGGGAUCAAACAGGAUUAGAUACCCUGGUAGUCCACGCCCUAAACUAUGAUUACUCGACAUACGCGAUACACUGUGUGUGUCUGAGCGAAAGCAUUAAGUAAUCCACCUGGGAAGUACGACCGCAAGGUUGAA